AUUGAACGCUGGCGGCAGGCCUAACACAUGCAAGUCGAGCGGCUGAAGAGAGAUUGCUCCUGGAUUCAGCGGCGGACGGGUGGGUAAGGCCUAGGAAUCUGCCUGGUAGUGGGGGAUAACGUGAGGAAACGGGCGCUCAUACCCCAUAAGUCCAGACGGCGAAAGGGGGAGAUCUUCGGACCUCACGACAUCAGAUGAGCCUAGGUGGGAUUAGCUGGUUGGGGGGGUAACGGCCUACAAGGCGACGAUCCGUAGCUGGUCUGAGAGGAUGAUCAGUCACACUGGAACUGAGACACGGUCCAGACUCCUACGGGAGGCAGCAGUGGGGAAUAUUGGACAAUGGGCGCAAGCCUGAUCCAGCCAUGCCGCGUGUGUGAAGAAGGUCUUCGGAUUGUAAAGCACUUUAGGUGGGGAGGAAGGGCAGUAAGUUAAUACCUUGCUGUUUUGACGGUACCAACAGAAUAAGCACCGGCUAACUUCGUG
RNAcentral lists this ribosomal RNA (483 nucleotides) under uncultured bacterium. RNAcentral describes it as "partial 16S ribosomal RNA". It matches the Rfam family "Bacterial small subunit ribosomal RNA", at positions 30 to 507 of the family's 1533-position model. The record is from RNAcentral.